This 92-nucleotide small nucleolar RNA is filed under the name Macleaya cordata. RNAcentral's name for it is "Small nucleolar RNA snoR31". It matches the Rfam family "Small nucleolar RNA snoR31". Lineage: Eukaryota; Viridiplantae; Streptophyta; Magnoliopsida; Ranunculales; Papaveraceae. The record is from Rfam by way of RNAcentral.
CAGAUGAGGAUGAAGCAAAAAAUACUAUAAUCCAACACUUGAUCUGAGGAUUUAAUUCCAAUUGAUGUUUAAUAGUUAGCUUCUGAAUCUGC